This is a small nucleolar RNA of Candida albicans SC5314, 124 nucleotides long. Lineage: Eukaryota; Fungi; Ascomycota; Pichiomycetes; Serinales; Debaryomycetaceae. The record is from RefSeq and is a predicted model, not a curated record.
UAAUAUGAUGAAUAAAAUGGAUGCGUGAACAAUCUCUGAACGUGUUGGUCAUACGAUUGACACAUGGAUUACAAAACCCUGCCUUCCUACUGAUCAAAUUAAAAAUAAUAAUUUAUGAAAUUUU